Molecule: ribosomal RNA, 442 nt
Filed under: uncultured bacterium
Lineage: Bacteria
Description: partial 16S ribosomal RNA
Rfam family: Bacterial small subunit ribosomal RNA
Source: RNAcentral
CCUACGGGAGGCAGCAGUGGGGAAUAUUGGGCAAUGGGCGCAAGCCUGACCCAGCAACGCCGCGUGAAGGAAGAAGGCCUUCGGGUUGUAAACUUCUUUCAAGGGGGAAGAGCAGAAGACGGUACCCCUAGAAUAAGCCACGGCUAACCACGUGCCAGCAGCCGCGGUAACACGUAGGGGGCACGCGUUGUCCGGAUUUACUGGGUGUAAAGGGCGUGCAGCCGGAGAGGCAAGUCAGAUGUGAAAUGCACGGGCUCAACCCGUGAACUGCAUUUGAAACUGUUUCGCUUGAGUGUCGGAGAGGUAAUCGGAAUUCCUUGUGUAGCGGUGAAAUGCGUAGAUAUAAGGAAGAACACCAGUGGCGAAGGCGGAUUACUGGAUGAUAACUGACGGUGAGGCGCGAAAGCGUGGGGAGCAAACAGGAUUAGAUACCCUAGUAGUC